RNAcentral lists this ribosomal RNA (300 nucleotides) under uncultured Halomonas sp. RNAcentral's name for it is "bacterial SSU rRNA". It matches the Rfam family "Bacterial small subunit ribosomal RNA", at positions 496 to 795 of the family's 1533-position model. Lineage: Bacteria; Pseudomonadati; Pseudomonadota; Gammaproteobacteria; Oceanospirillales; Halomonadaceae. The record is from RNAcentral.
GUUAAGUAGGGGUCAGGGUGAGAGGUGAUACAAAGGAUGUGAGCUUGAUCCGGUUUUAUUGGGUUUAAAGGGUGCGUAGGCGGCCUUAUAAGUCAGUGGUGAAAUCCUAUCGCUGAACGAUAGACGUGCCAUUGAUACUGUAGGGCUUGAGUAUAGAUGCCGUUGGCGGAAUGUGUCAUGUAGCGGUGAAAUGCAUAGAUAUGACACAGAACACCGAUUGCGAAGGCAGCUGACGAAACUAUAACUGACGCUGAUGCACGAAAGCGUGGGGAUCAAACAGGAUUAGAUACCCGUGUAGUC